ACACCCGUAAUUCGAUUUCAUAAUUUGGUUUCGAUUUAUCAAUUUGCCAGACAAACAGGUUGUUGAGUUGUUGGAUAUUUUUGGCAUUUCAUUGAAAUUGGAAUAAAACCAGAGACUGGUCCACAAAACUCAUAUGUGCUGCUCUGCGGUUGGUUGGCAGCUACCUAUCAAAAUAAUGCCCAUGGAAUCGCAUACAAAUGCCUGGUUGCCGCAGUAAAAAUCAUCUCCGCUUGCAUUCUGCAGACUGCCUUCAGCCGGAGUUGGGAAAACAAGGAGCCAGAGUUGGGAAAAUAGGGAGUCGGAAAAGCAGAGAGCGUGCAUCGGAUGUCUGCCGCCAAUGAAUGAAUUUGAAAAGACUGCAACUCAGACGGAUGGGCUGUAUUGGCUACACCAGUUAAAUAGUUCUCACUAGGGAACUGCACAGGUAUUUAAUUAAUGUUUUAUA
This is a long non-coding RNA of Drosophila elegans, 445 nucleotides long. RefSeq lists it as uncharacterized. The record is from RefSeq and is a predicted model, not a curated record. NCBI's taxonomy places the organism in Eukaryota, Metazoa, Arthropoda, Insecta, Diptera, Drosophilidae. The transcript is spliced from 3 exons.